AUACGGAGGGGGCUAGCGUUGUUCGGAGUCACUGGGCGUAAAGGGCACGUAGGUUGUUAUGUAAGUCAGAGGUUAAAGGCAUCGGCUUAACCGGUGUAAUGCCUUUGAAACUGUAUAGCUAGAGUACCAGAGAGGAAUGCGGAAUUCCCUGUGUAGCGGUGAAAUGCGUAGAUAUAGGGAGGAACACCAGUAGCGAAGGCGGCAUUCUGGCUGUGUACUGACACUGAUGUGCGAAAGCGUGGGUAGCAAACAGGAUUAGAAACCCCAGUAGUCC
RNAcentral lists this ribosomal RNA (274 nucleotides) under uncultured bacterium. Its description in RNAcentral is "partial 16S ribosomal RNA". It matches the Rfam family "Bacterial small subunit ribosomal RNA", at positions 523 to 796 of the family's 1533-position model. The record is from RNAcentral.